ACGGGUGAGUAACACGUGGAUAACCUGCCCCUUUGUGGGGAAUACCGUUGGGAAACCGACGACAAUACCGCAUAAGCUCGAGAGAGGAAAGCAGCAAUGCGCAGAGGGAGGGGUCCGCGGUCGAUUAGCUAGUUGGUGAGGUAAUGGCUCACCAAGGCUGUGAUCGAUAGCCGGCCUGAGAGGGCACACGGCCACACUGGCACUGAAACACGGGCCAGACUCCUACGGGAGGCAGCAGUGGGGAAUCUUGCACAAUGGGGGAAACCCUGAUGCAGCGACGCCGCGUGAGCGAUGAAGCCCUUCGGGGUGUAAAGCUCUUUCGGCAGGGAAGAUUAUGACGGUACCUGCAGAAGCAGCUGCGGCUAACUACGUGCCAGCAGCCGCGG
This 386-nucleotide ribosomal RNA is filed under the name uncultured bacterium. Its description in RNAcentral is "bacterial SSU rRNA". It matches the Rfam family "Bacterial small subunit ribosomal RNA", at positions 102 to 520 of the family's 1533-position model. The record is from RNAcentral.